RNAcentral lists this long non-coding RNA (1112 nucleotides) under Gadus morhua (Atlantic cod). RNAcentral describes it as "lncRNA (ENSGMOG00000028575.1)". Lineage: Eukaryota; Metazoa; Chordata; Actinopteri; Gadiformes; Gadidae. The record is from RNAcentral.
GGUAAUCUAUAUAUAUAUAUAGAGAGAGAGAGAGAGAGAGAGAGAGAGAGAGAGAGAGAGAGAGAGAGAGAGAGAGAGAGAGAGAGAGAGAGAGAGAGAGAGAGAGAGAGAGACCCAAGCCAAGAGAAGGGGGGAGGAGAGAGAGCAGGUGAGUGACGGAGAGAUGCAGAGAGGGAUGGAGAGAGAGGGAGUGAUGGCUGUGUUUGGUCUCCCUCUCUCGCCCGUCCUCCCUCCCUGCAGGCUUGUCAUCCUCAUACGACCAGACACUGAUGGUGGCGGAGGGGCCUAUUAAUAGAUAGUCAGUAUCUCUCUCUCUCUCUCUCUCUCUCUCUCUCUCUCUCUCUCUCUCUCUCUCUCUCUCUCUCUCAGCCAACACACUGGACCACUGUGUGGCCGUACCGGGGAGAGCAUGUGGCGAGAGCAUUGGAGAGAGAGAGCAUGAGAGGCAGAUAGAGAGAUACUGUGGGAGAGAGGGGGAGAGGGAGACGACACUGUGAAAGGGGGAGACACUUAUAGGGGACAGAGGGGGGGGGGGAAGGGAUAGAUGGAGGAGAGGGGAGAGAGAUAGAGAAAGAGAGGUAGAUAUGAAUCAGAUAGGGAGUACAGUAUAGGACACUGAGGUUGAAGAGAGAGAGAGGGAGAUAAGAAACAUGGAGGGAGAUAGAUAUAUGAGCCUGAGGUGGAAGACAGGGAGAGAUAGAGAGAGAGAGGAGGAGGAUCCUAAACUGUAUUUUAUGUGUGCAGAUGGAGAGAGAGCGAUAGCGAGAGACCGAUGAGAGAAGGAGGAAUGCAAAUGAAAAAACACACCUCACAUGUUUAGCUUUACAUAGAAGAAAGGGAGAGAGGGAGGAAAAGGGAGCUAGAGAGAGAGAGAGAGAGAGAGAGAGAGAGAGAGAGAGAGAGAGAGAGAGAGAGAGAAGAAGGAACAGCAUCAGAGGGAAGCGGAGGAAUGUACCGGGGGGCUGCGGACCAUCCGUCAGGAGCCUGCAGCGAGACCCGCCGGGACCACUGAGACCUCCCCCGGGACGGUCCCCAGACCUGGAGCCAGGACUCUCUACCUCCGCGCUGUGGGCAGAUCAUCUCCCAGGACCUCCGACGAGCGGCGCGGUGAA